UACGUAGGGGGUAAGCGUUGUCCGGAUUUAUUGGGCGUAAAGAGCGUGUAGGCGGCCAGGUAGGUCUGCUGUGAAAACUCGAGGCUUAACCUCGAGCUGUCGGCGGAAACCAUCUGGCUAGAGUCCGGAAGAGGAGAAUGGAAUUCCCGGUGUAGCGGUGAAAUGCGCAGAUAUCGGGAAGAACACCAGUGGCGAAGGCGGUUCUCUGGGACGGUGCUGACGCUGAGACGCGAAAGCGUGGGGAGCGAACAGG
RNAcentral lists this ribosomal RNA (253 nucleotides) under uncultured bacterium. Its description in RNAcentral is "partial 16S ribosomal RNA". It matches the Rfam family "Bacterial small subunit ribosomal RNA", at positions 524 to 776 of the family's 1533-position model. The record is from RNAcentral.